Molecule: ribosomal RNA, 464 nt
Filed under: uncultured bacterium
Lineage: Bacteria
Description: partial 16S ribosomal RNA
Rfam family: Bacterial small subunit ribosomal RNA
Source: RNAcentral
CUACGGGAGGCAGCAGUGGGGAAUAUUGCACAAUGGGCGCAAGCCUGAUGCAGCCAUGCCGCGUGUAUGAAGAAGGCCUUCAGGUUGUAAAGUACUUUCAGCGGGGAGGAAGGGAGUAAAGUUAAUACCUUUGCUUAUUGACGUUACCCGCAGAAGAAGCACCGGCUAACUCCGUGCCAGCAGCCGCGGUAAUACGGAGGGUGCAAGCGUUAAUCGGAAUUACUGGGCGUAAAGCGCACGCAGGCGGUUUGUUAAGUCAGAUGUGAAAUCCCCGGGCUCAACCUGGGAACUGCAUCUGAUACUGGCAAGCUUGAGUCUCGUAGAGGGGGGUAGAAUUCCAGGUGUAGCGGUGAAAUGCGUAGAGAUCUGGAGGAAUACCGGUGGCGAAGGCGGCCCCCUGGACGAAGACUGACGCUCAGGUGCGAAAGCGUGGGGAGCAAACAGGAUUAGAUACCCUAGUAGUC